This 440-nucleotide ribosomal RNA is filed under the name uncultured bacterium. RNAcentral's name for it is "partial 16S ribosomal RNA". It matches the Rfam family "Bacterial small subunit ribosomal RNA", at positions 338 to 795 of the family's 1533-position model. The record is from RNAcentral.
CCUACGGGAGGCAGCAGUGGGGAAUAUUGCACAAUGGGGGAAACCCUGAUGCAGCGACGCCGCGUGAGUGAGGAAGUCUUUCUGUAUGUAAAGCUCUAUCAGCAGGGAAGAAAAUGACGGUACGUGACUACGACGCCCCGGCUAACUCCGUGCCAGCAGCCGCGGUAAUACGUAGGGGGCAAGCGUUAUCCGGAUUUACUGGGUGUAAAGGGGGCGUAGACGGCUAAUCAAGUCAGAAGUGAAAACCCAGGGCUCAACUUUGGAACUGCUUUUGAAACUGAGUAGCUAGAGUGCAGGAGAGGUAAGCGGAAUUCCUAGUGUAGCGGUGAAAUGCGUAGAUAUUAGGAGGAACACCAGUGGCGAAGGCGGCUUACUGGACUGUAACUGACGUUGAGGCUCGAAAGCGUGGGGAGCAAACAGGAUUAGAUACCCUUGUAGUC